Molecule: ribosomal RNA, 1484 nt
Filed under: uncultured prokaryote
Description: partial 16S ribosomal RNA
Rfam family: Bacterial small subunit ribosomal RNA
Source: RNAcentral
ACAACGGAGAGUUUGAUCCUGGCUCAGGAUGAACGCUGGCGGCGUGCUUAACACAUGCAAGUCGAACGAACCUUCGGGUUAGUGGCGGACGGGUGAGUAACGCGUGAGAAUCUGCCCUCAGGAGGGGGAUAACGGCUGGAAACGGCCGCUAAUACCCCAUAUGCCGCGAGGUGAAAUGAAUUUCGCCUGAGGAUGAGCUCGCGUCUGAUUAGCUAGUUGGUGGGGUAAAAGCCUACCAAGGCUUCGAUCAGUAGCUGGUCUGAGAGGAUGAUCAGCCACACUGGGACUGAGACACGGCCCAGACUCCUACGGGAGGCAGCAGUGGGGAAUUUUCCGCAAUGGGCGAAAGCCUGACGGAGCAACGCCGCGUGAGGGAUGAAGGCCUCUGGGCUGUAAACCUCUUUUAUCAAGGAAGAAGAUCUGACGGUACUUGAUGAAUAAGCCACGGCUAAUUCCGUGCCAGCAGCCGCGGUAAUACGGGAGUGGCAAGCGUUAUCCGGAAUUAUUGGGCGUAAAGCGUCCGCAGGCGGUCUUUUAAGUCUGCUGUUAAAGCGUGGAGCUUAACUCCAUUUCGGCAGUGGAAACUGGAAGACUAGAGUGUGGUAGGGGCAGAGGGAAUUCCCGGUGUAGCGGUGAAAUGCGUAGAUAUCGGGAAGAACACCAGUGGCGAAGGCGCUCUGCUGGGCCAUAACUGACGCUCAUGGACGAAAGCCAGGGGAGCGAAAGGGAUUAGAUACCCCUGUAGUCCUGGCCGUAAACGAUGAACACUAGGUGUCGGGGGAAUCGACCCCCUCGGUGUCGUAGCCAACGCGUUAAGUGUUCCGCCUGGGGAGUACGCACGCAAGUGUGAAACUCAAAGGAAUUGACGGGGGCCCGCACAAGCGGUGGAGUAUGUGGUUUAAUUCGAUGCAACGCGAAGAACCUUACCAGGGUUUGACAUCCUGCGAAUCCCUUGGAAACGAGGGAGUGCCUUCGGGAACGCAGUGACAGGUGGUGCAUGGCUGUCGUCAGCUCGUGUCGUGAGAUGUUGGGUUAAGUCCCGCAACGAGCGCAACCCACGUCGUUAGUUGCCAGCAUUCAGUUGGGCACUCUAGCGAGACCGCCGGUGAUAAACCGGAGGAAGGUGUGGAUGACGUCAAGUCAUCAUGCCCCUUACAUCCUGGGCUACACACGUACUACAAUGCUACGGACAAAGGGCAGCAAACUCGCGAGAGCUAGCAAAUCCCAUAAACCGUGGCUCAGUUCAGAUCGUAGGCUGCAACUCGCCUACGUGAAGGAGGAAUCGCUAGUAAUCGCAGGUCAGCAUACUGCGGUGAAUACGUUCCCGGGCCUUGUACACACCGCCCGUCACACCAUGGAAGUUGGCCACGCCCGAAGCCGUUACUCCAACCCGCAAGGGAGGAGGACGCCGAAGGUGGGGCUGAUGACUGGGGUGAAGUCGUAACAAGGUAGCCGUACCGGAAGGUGCGGCUGGAUCACCUCCU